GACGAACGCUGGCGGCGUGCUUAACACAUGCAAGUCGAACGGAAAGGCCCUGCUUUUGUGGGGUGCUCGAGUGGCGAACGGGUGAGUAACACGUGAGUAACCUGCCCUUGACUUUGGGAUAACUUCAGGAAACUGGGGCUAAUACCGGAUAGGAGCUCCUGCUGCAUGGUGGGGGUUGGAAAGUUUCGGCGGUUGGGGAUGGACUCGCGGCUUAUCAGCUUGUUGGUGGGGCAGUGGCUUACCAAGGCUUUGACGGGUAGCCGGCCUGAGAGGGUGACCGGCCACAUUGGGACUGAGAUACGGCCCAGACUCCUACGGGAGGCAGCAGUGGGGAAUAUUGCACAAUGGGCGGAAGCCUGAUGCAGCAACGCCGCGUUCGGGAUGACGGCCUUCGGGUUGUAAACCGCUUUCGCCUGUGACGAAGCGUGAGUGACGGUAAUGGGUAAAGAAGCACCGGCUAACUACGUG
Molecule: ribosomal RNA, 468 nt
Filed under: uncultured bacterium
Lineage: Bacteria
Description: partial 16S ribosomal RNA
Rfam family: Bacterial small subunit ribosomal RNA
Source: RNAcentral